AUUGAACGCUGGCGGCGGGCCUAACACAUGCAAGUCGAGCGGAUGAAGGGAGCUUUCUCCUGGAUUCAGCGGCGGACGGGUGAGUAAUGCCUAGGAAUCUGCCUGGUAGUGGGGGAUAACGUCCGGUAACGGGCGCUAAUACCGCAUACGUCCUGAGGGAGAAAGGGGGGGAUCUUCGGACCUCACGCUAUCAGAUGAGCCUAGGUCGGAGUAGCUAGUUGGUGGGGUAAAGGCCUACCAAGGCGACGAUCCGUAACUGGUCUGAGAGGAUGAUCAGUCACACUGGAACUGAGACAAGGUCCAGACUCCUACGGGAGGCAGCAGUGGGGAAUAUUGGACAAUGGGCGAAAGCCUGAUCCAGCCAUGCCGCGUGUGUGAAGAAGGUCUUCGGAUUGUAAAGCACUUUAAGUUGGGAGGAAGGGCAGUAAGUUAAUACCUUGCUGUUUUGACGUUACCAACAGAAUAAGCACCGGCUAACUUCGUG
This 484-nucleotide ribosomal RNA is filed under the name uncultured bacterium. RNAcentral's name for it is "partial 16S ribosomal RNA". It matches the Rfam family "Bacterial small subunit ribosomal RNA", at positions 30 to 507 of the family's 1533-position model. The record is from RNAcentral.